This 218-nucleotide long non-coding RNA is filed under the name Elaeis guineensis (African oil palm). RNAcentral's name for it is "long non-coding RNA (EGUI_LNC053139)". Lineage: Eukaryota; Viridiplantae; Streptophyta; Magnoliopsida; Arecales; Arecaceae. The record is from RNAcentral.
GGUCACAUAUAUUAACUGUAAUGACUAAACUGGUUUAGGUCAGCCCAUCUCAUAUCUGACCCACCUAAUUAGCAUGGAUGAAUACGAAUCACUAAUCAACUAGAAUCAAUCCAUAAUUUAUCAAAUGAUCAGAUAAGUGAGAUCAAUGGGAGAGAUAAGCCAUUAACUCAUCAUAGACACCAUCUGUGCGAGUAGCUCCCAAUUAAAAAUUAUUGAUC